ACACAGCCCUCAGCUCUGUGUAAAAAGCUCACCUUUUAGGGUGGCAGCCAGUUGGUUACUGACCCCCCAAAAGGAGGACUGGCUCACUUCUUCUGACAACUUCUGAUAAUCAGAGGGGAUUCUAAGCUUUCCUUCUGGACUUCAAUGUCUCCUGGGGGGAAAAGGAAGAAGGAAAAAUACACCCUGAUCGGUGGCACUCUUUUGCUAAAGCCGCUUUGCCGUGGAGCAGAUGUCUUGGCAGCCUGCAGGGCAGACCUCUUCCUGGAAUCAGUUCAGCUCUUAGAACCCCCCAUGGGUGGCUGAUGGACAAAGCAAUAAAGCUGACUGCAUCCUGCUCCUUCCCA
RNAcentral lists this long non-coding RNA (344 nucleotides) under Sus scrofa (pig). RNAcentral describes it as "lncRNA (ENSSSCG00025071861.1)". Lineage: Eukaryota; Metazoa; Chordata; Mammalia; Artiodactyla; Suidae. The record is from RNAcentral.